UUUUUAUUAGGUUAAACUGAGAGAUUUUAAAUCAUACAGAGCCACAUUUAUGGAUAACAUCUGGUCUUUACAUUUACGUCCUUUUUUUAUUCAGUGACGAUUGUUUGUUCCUGGGAAAAGAGGGUACCUGAGAAUCCUACUCAAACCAAGUAUCCCACUCAUGAUCUACUUCUGAUAUUCCAAUCAUAAGCCUAUCAGCCUGACUGUACCAGCUGCUGUGGUGAAGCGACUGAGAGGAUGGCACUCGGCACUCUCCCUCAUUUCUCAGUAUCCCCUGCCCUCGCUGCUGCAAAGGUACCACGUGUGAACAGCAA
Molecule: long non-coding RNA, 314 nt
Organism: Motacilla alba alba
Lineage: Eukaryota; Metazoa; Chordata; Aves; Passeriformes; Motacillidae
Exons: 3
Source: RefSeq, a predicted model, not a curated record